RNAcentral lists this ribosomal RNA (433 nucleotides) under uncultured bacterium. RNAcentral describes it as "partial 16S ribosomal RNA". It matches the Rfam family "Bacterial small subunit ribosomal RNA", at positions 29 to 507 of the family's 1533-position model. The record is from RNAcentral.
AACGAACGCUGGCGGCAUGCCUAACACAUGCAAGUCGAACGAGACCUCCGGGUGUAGUGGCGCCCGGGUGCGUCACGCGAGGGGAGCUGCCCUUGGGUUUGGCCUACCUAUCCGACAGGGGUGCUAAUACCGGAUCAUGUCUUCGGACCAAAGAUUUAUUGCAUUUGGAUGGGCCCGCGUGGGAUUCGCUCGUUGGUAGGGUAAAAGCUUAUUACGGGGACGAUUAAUAGCUGGUCUGUGAGAAUGAUCAGCCACUCUGGGACGAAGACACGGCCCAGACUCCUACGGGAGGCAGCAGUGGGGAAUAGUGGACCGUGGGCGAAAUGCUGAUCCAGCAAUGCCGCGUGAGUUAUGAAGGCCUUAGGGUUGUAAAGCGCUUUUACCCGGGAUGAUAAUGACGGUACCGGGUGAAUAAGCCCCGGCUAACUCCGUG